UGUGGGUUGGCCUAUGUAAAUUGCU
This 25-nucleotide non-coding RNA is filed under the name Cricetulus griseus (Chinese hamster). The record is from RNAcentral. Lineage: Eukaryota; Metazoa; Chordata; Mammalia; Rodentia; Cricetidae.